AACGGUCUAUACCUGCGGUACCUGCGGAAGGAUCAUUACCGAGUUAUCCAACUCCCAACCCCUGUGAAUCAUACCUUUAAUUGUUGCUUCGGCGGGACUUCGCGCCCGCCGGGGACCCAAACCUUCUGAAUUUUUUAAUAAGUAUCUUCUGAGUGGUUAAAAAAAAUGAAUCAAAACUUUUAGCAACGGAUCUCU
RNAcentral lists this unclassified non-coding RNA (195 nucleotides) under soil metagenome. RNAcentral's name for it is "partial contains 5.8S ribosomal RNA, internal transcribed spacer 2, and large subunit ribosomal RNA". The record is from RNAcentral.